This 65-nucleotide transfer RNA is filed under the name Ranina ranina. Its description in RNAcentral is "tRNA-Glu". The record is from RNAcentral. Lineage: Eukaryota; Metazoa; Arthropoda; Malacostraca; Decapoda; Raninidae.
CUGUUUUUAUGGUGUAAAACAUAUUACAUUUUCAUUGUAAAGCUGAAGAAAGAUUCUUCUAAAAA